This 512-nucleotide ribosomal RNA is filed under the name uncultured bacterium. Its description in RNAcentral is "bacterial SSU rRNA". It matches the Rfam family "Bacterial small subunit ribosomal RNA", at positions 975 to 1482 of the family's 1533-position model. The record is from RNAcentral.
CCAGGCUGGACAAGCAGGUAGUACGACCCUGAAAGGGGAAGGAGCCCGAAAGGGCAUCCUGCUCAGGUGCUGCAUGGCUGUCGUCAGCUCGUGCCGUGAGGUGUUGGGUUAUGUCCCGCAACGAGCGCAACCCCUGUCUUUAGUUGCCAUCGGGUCAUGCCGGGUACUCUAAAGAGACUGCCCAGGAGAACGGGGAGGAAGGUGGGGAUGACGUCAAGUCAGCAUGGCUUUAUGCCUGGGGCUACACACGUGCUACAAUGACCGGUACAGAGAGCUGCAAACCCGUAAGGGGAAGCUAAUCUCAAAAAACCGGCCUCAGUUCAGAUUGGGGUCUGCAACUCGACCCCAUGAAGCGGAAUCGCUAGUAAUCGCGGAUCAGCACGCCGCGGUGAAUACGUUCCCGGGCCUUGUACACACCGCCCGUCACACCACGAAAGCCCGUUGUACCUGAAGUCGCCGGAGCCAACCCGCAAGGGAGGUAGGCGCCCACGGUAUGGCUGGUGAUUGGGGUG